UGCACCGAUCCGUCUCCGUUAGAAUUUGAUUCUCCACAAUUUGGGUCGGUUCGUUGCACUUUAGUUUGAAAAAGAAGCUUAAGUAAGGUUAUAAGGCAAAGGUAACAAAGGAGGUAGACCGACGAGGGACAAGAAGGAGACGUGAUUGCCAUAAGGGAAUGUUCUUCAAAUGCUUUCGCUUUAUGUUUCUUGUUUUUCCUUUGUACAUGAGGUUGUUUAAAAAUUUUGUGAUGGAACUGAGUUUACGAACUGUUGUUUUGUAAAUAGUACUUUUAAAGUUUUGGUUAUUUGAAAUAGGGCCCGAACUUAAGUUUGUUUUCUUU
Molecule: long non-coding RNA, 323 nt
Organism: Cucumis sativus (cucumber)
Lineage: Eukaryota; Viridiplantae; Streptophyta; Magnoliopsida; Cucurbitales; Cucurbitaceae
Exons: 3
Source: RefSeq, a predicted model, not a curated record